This 195-nucleotide ribosomal RNA is filed under the name uncultured bacterium. RNAcentral's name for it is "partial 16S ribosomal RNA". It matches the Rfam family "Bacterial small subunit ribosomal RNA", at positions 326 to 539 of the family's 1533-position model. The record is from RNAcentral.
ACGCUCGACACCUACGGGCAGCAGUGGGGAAUAUUGCACAAUGGGGGAAACCCUGAUGCAGCGACGCCGCGUGAGUGAAGAAGUAUUUCGGUAUGUAAAGCUCUAUCAGCAGGGAAGAAGAUGACGGUACCUGAGUAAGAAGCCCCGGCUAACUACGUGCCAACAGCCGCGGUAAUCUGAGCGGGCUGGCAAGGC